AACGUAGGUGGCGAGCGUUAUCCGGAUUUACUGGGCGUAAAGCGUGUGCAGGCGGCCUGUCAAGUGGUGUAUGAAAUAUCCAGGCUCAACCUGGAGGGGUUAUGCCAGACUGGCAGGCUAGAGUGCGAGAGAGGGGCGUGGAAUUCCGGGUGUAGUGGUGAAAUGCGUAGAUAUCUGGAGGAACACCGGUGGCGAAGGCGGCAUCCUGGACCGGCAUUGACGCUGAGGAGCGAAAGCCAGGGGAGCAAACGGG
This 253-nucleotide ribosomal RNA is filed under the name uncultured bacterium. Its description in RNAcentral is "partial 16S ribosomal RNA". It matches the Rfam family "Bacterial small subunit ribosomal RNA", at positions 524 to 776 of the family's 1533-position model. The record is from RNAcentral.